This is a long non-coding RNA of Ornithorhynchus anatinus (platypus), 983 nucleotides long. RefSeq lists it as uncharacterized. The transcript is spliced from 4 exons. Lineage: Eukaryota; Metazoa; Chordata; Mammalia; Monotremata; Ornithorhynchidae. The record is from RefSeq and is a predicted model, not a curated record.
GAAUCCGGGAGAGACGGGAAACGUGGGCGGCUGCCGGCGCUCGGAUUCGGCCAUCGAACGAGGGAGAAGGGAAAACCUCUUUCCCCCUGGAGGAGGAAGCGGGCUCAGGAAGAGGUGUCCGGGGCCUGCGGGAACCAGGAGGACGGACGCGAAGGCUCGGAAACGGGAAGAGAGAAGUUAGCCGGCGCAACGAAGAGCGGCGGGAAAGCAUCCCGGUCCCUCCGGAGGCGGACGGAAGCCGUCCCUGGUUGAUUCUGGUCCGUGAAGAUGGAAACCGAUUCAGGAAAUGGAAAGAAGUAGAAGAAAGAGAAGAACGGAUUAUCCCAAAUUUCCCUGGAGUCUCUCAAUAAAUUUAACCGCAAUACCGUGAUUUUAUUAGAAAAAGAGAGGCACCGUCUGCACGAGGUUGAAGGACAAAAGGAGGAAAAUGGAAAAACAGAAGAGUCUUCUUUCAAAAGCCCCGAUCGGCUUGGAGGAGCCGAUUUAGACUCUCUGAGUGAUUAUCUGAGAGCUUCUCUUGUGCCGGCCAAGGUUCUAAUGAUCUAUAAAAACUCUUUCCAGUGGGCCGCGAAUGCGGCACUUAAGGCGUCGGCGAUAUAUUCGAAAGAAAAAUAAACCGUGGUGGGGGAAAGGAAAAAAAAAAACAAAAAACAAAAUAAAAUAAAACCACAGCCCACAUGGUUAGCUUUUGCAGCGGGCCACUCGGCUGACCUGCGAUUUUCACGACCCGGCCGGCGAUAAAGAGACCGGGCUGAGGGAGACGUUUGAGGAGGGAACACAAAAGGAUUCUACGGAAAGUCUUAAUUUUGCACUUUUUUGAAUACUUGUACAGGAGCUGUAAACAUUUUCUGGGGGAGGGAAGAAAGAUAUAUUUGUAGCAAGAAAAGAAACGACAGCACUAUAUUGAUGAUUUGAUGCCUUUUCAAAAAAAAAAUUUUUACAGGUGACUAACUUUUAAAGCUGAUGUUAAAUAUGAACAGAAA